This 254-nucleotide ribosomal RNA is filed under the name uncultured bacterium. RNAcentral describes it as "partial 16S ribosomal RNA". It matches the Rfam family "Bacterial small subunit ribosomal RNA", at positions 524 to 776 of the family's 1533-position model. The record is from RNAcentral.
UACGUAGGGUGCGAGCGUUGUCCGGAAUUAUUGGGCGUAAAGCGCUCGUAGGCGGUCUGUCGCGUCGGUCGUGAAAACUUGGGGCUUAACCCUGAGCUUGCGGUCGAUACGGGCAUGACUGGAGUUCGGUAGGGGAGACUGGAAUUCCUGGUGUAGCGGUGAAAUGCGCAGAUAUCAGGAGGAACACCGGUGGCGAAGGCGGGUCUCUGGGCCGAUACUGACGCUGAGGAGCGAAAGCGUGGGGAGCGAACAGG